CAGGCUUAACACAUGCAAGUCGAGCGGGGUGAUGGUGCUUGCACUAUCACUUAGCGGCAGACGGGUGAGUAACGCGUGGGAAUCUACCCAUCACUACGGAACAACUCCGGGAAACUGGAGCUAAUACCGUAUACGUCCUUCGGGAGAAAGAUUUAUCGGUGAUGGAUGAGCCCGCGUUGGAUUAGCUAGUUGGUGGGGUAAGGGCCCACCAAGGCGACGAUCAAUAGCUGGUCUGAGAGGAUGGUCAGACACACUGGGACUAAGACACGCCCCAGACUCCUACGGGAGGCAGCAGUGGGGAAUAUUGGACAAUGGGCGCAAGCCUGAUCCAGCCAUGCCGCGUGAGUGAUGAAGGCCCUAGGGUUGUAAAGCUCUUUCACCGGUGAAGAUAAUGACGGUAACCUGAGAAGAAGCCCCGGCUAACUUCGUGCCAGCCGCCGCGGUAA
RNAcentral lists this ribosomal RNA (446 nucleotides) under uncultured bacterium. RNAcentral describes it as "partial 16S ribosomal RNA". It matches the Rfam family "Bacterial small subunit ribosomal RNA", at positions 43 to 523 of the family's 1533-position model. The record is from RNAcentral.